This 253-nucleotide ribosomal RNA is filed under the name uncultured bacterium. RNAcentral describes it as "partial 16S ribosomal RNA". It matches the Rfam family "Bacterial small subunit ribosomal RNA", at positions 524 to 776 of the family's 1533-position model. The record is from RNAcentral.
UACGGGGGGGGCAAACGUUGCUCGGAAUUACUGGGCGUAAAGCGCGUGUAGGUGGAUUGGUGUGUCAGAUGUGAAAUCCCUGGGCUCAACCCAGGAACUGCACCUGAAACUACCAGUCUUGAGUGGUGGAGAGGGAAGUGGAAUUCCUGGUGUAGAGGUGAAAUUCGUAGAUAUCAGGAGGAACACCAGUGGCGAAGGCGGCUUCCUGGACACCAACUGACGCUGAGACGCGAAAGCGUGGGGAGCAAACAGG